Molecule: long non-coding RNA, 669 nt
Organism: Poecilia reticulata (guppy)
Lineage: Eukaryota; Metazoa; Chordata; Actinopteri; Cyprinodontiformes; Poeciliidae
Source: RefSeq, a predicted model, not a curated record
CAGUUCAUUWAAUCAAAUGCACCAAUCCCCUUAGCAACCAUCAUGUUUUGGAAGUUGACGUGCGUAUUGCUAGCGAAUUCUGACCCAUAGUGCAGUCGUGACUGGUUCUGAAUGGGGCCUUUACAGCAGACAGCCGUUCUCCCCUCUUCCUGUGUCGGCGCACAUCCAUACAAGGCCUCAUCCGACACUUCCGCCUCUCUCCUGGAGAGCUGUAGAGACCUGGGGCAUCUUGCAGCUAAAACACCUGCGUAGCACCUGCUUCCUGCCCCUGUGGUGCCCGAGAAGUGAUAGUAGACACCAAGUGUUGACGCGACCAAGAAUUAGAAUUACAGCUGUUUACCUCGGAGUUACCCAGGAGCAGUAUUGGGUCGAAAGACUAGCAGCCAUAAAGCAGACAGAGUUGAACAACAAUGAACAAAUAAGAGAUUGCUGUAGUAUUUUUCAAGCUUAUGUCUGUAACUGUUAUGUUUCUAAACUGAACUGUCAAUGCAGUCUUUCCUAUGAAAUGUCACACAGUAGGACUGAUUCUAAAUUGAUGUAAUUGCAGCCGACACCGUUCACGGUUGUUUUCCCCUCAUUUGAUCUAUUCCUGUAAACUGACGUAAAUGAUAUAAAAUGAGAGCAGCCUUUUAUGCACAUUUAUGUGAAAUAAUAAAGUUGACAGAUGCA